UGACCAUUCUAUCACUUUAUAUUCAAAUCACUUGUACUAUUAAUAAAACAAAUAACCCACUUGUACUUCUUCUUUCUCACCUCUACGCAUCUCAGCUUUCAAGAUCAUCAUUCUCUCUCCUUUUUCACUUCUUCUUCCUCACCUCUACAAAAAUGGAGUUCAUUGCAAAUCUAGCAAAAUCUUUAUGAUUUUUCUUCUUUUGAAAAUUGAUAGGGGUCGAUGCUUUCUUCUAGCUAGCAUUAGGAGCUUUCAACCAUUGAUUGGAACCAUGAGCAAUGACAAUCUUCAAUUCAAUUGAAUCAAAAGGAAAAGUAAGACAUGGAGCAAUUAGAGAUGUUGCAAGUAUAUACUCUGUUUCUACAAGGACUGUUAGUCGAAUAUGGAGAAAGGGGAUUGACUGUGUUAAAAAUGGUGUGCCUGUUGAUACUUCUUUGAACUUGGCAGAAAAAAGAUUCAGAUUAGUCCUGAUGAAGUUUUCAGAAUUCCUUUGAAUCGUCGUACAACAAUUCGCUCAAUGGCUACUGCUCUAAAUAUGUCAAAGACAAGUUUGCAUAGAAGAGUUAAAGAAGGAUCACUGAAGUCACACUCAAAUGCUAUAAAGCCAUUAUUAACCGAGGAAAAUCGAAAGGUUAGAUUAGAAUUUUGCAUAUCUAUGAUUGAUUCAAAUUCACCUCCACAUAAUCCAUCUUUCAUAGAUAUGUAUGAUCGUGUUCAUAUAGAUGAAAAAUGGUUCUUCCUCUCUAAAGCUUCUCAAAAAUAUUACCUCUUGCCCGAUGAAGACGAACCAUACCGUACUUGUAAAAGUAAAAAGUUUAUAGCCAAAGUGAUGUUUCUAUGUGCUGUUGCCCGUCCAUGAGUUUGAUUCAGGGAGAAAUGAAAUGUUUGAUGGAAAAUUUGGAAUAUUCUCAUUUAUUUAUAAGGAAGCUGCUAAGCAUAGAAGUAAAAAUCGAGAAGCCGGAACACUGGUAACUAAGCCAAUUGAAUCAGUAAAUAAAGAAGUUACUAGGAAAUGGUUGAUUGAUUAUGUAUUGCCUGCAAUCAAGACAAUGCAAGGCUACAUAUUAGUGUAAAUGAUGCUGAAUUUCUUGAGGCUGCCCAAAAAGAUGGCUUUGACAUUCGUUUAACAUGUCAACCUCCAAACAGUCCGGACAUGAAUGUGCUAGAUCUUGGUUUUUUUAGAGUUAUUCAGUCUUUGCAAUAUCAAGAAGCCCCACAUAAUGUUGAUGAACUUGUUGUUGCUACUCAAAAAGCUUUUGAUGAUAUAUCAAUGAAAAGUCUUAAUAAUGUUUUUUUGACUCUACAACUAUGCAUGGUUGAUGUCAUGAAAAAGUUUGGAGGGAACAAUUACAAAAUUCCGCAUAUAAAUAAGCAAAAGUUGGAACAAGAAGGUCGACUACCUACCACUAUCUCUUGUGAUCCGGAAGUUUUAAAUGAAGCAAUUUCAAGCCUUCAACAUUAAUGUUUGAUGUACAUUUUGUAUUUUGUGAUUAUCAUUGCAAAAGUAAGGAGUAGUAUAGUUUGAUGUAUAUUUUGUAGUUAAUGCUUUAUUUUGUGUUUAUCUAGUAUGGACUAUGGAGUAAUUGUAACAUGGAACUAUGGUGAUUAAUGACUUAUUAGUGUAUUUUGUGCUUUUGUUGAUGAGAA
This is a long non-coding RNA of Ipomoea nil (Japanese morning glory), 1644 nucleotides long. RefSeq lists it as uncharacterized. The transcript has 2 exons. Lineage: Eukaryota; Viridiplantae; Streptophyta; Magnoliopsida; Solanales; Convolvulaceae. The record is from RefSeq and is a predicted model, not a curated record.